GACCCCGUAGCUCAACCGGAUAGAGCAACGGAUUUCUAAUCCGUAGGUUGGCGGUUCAAGUCCGCCCGGGGUCGCCA
RNAcentral lists this transfer RNA (77 nucleotides) under Verrucomicrobiia bacterium. RNAcentral describes it as "tRNA-Arg". It matches the Rfam family "tRNA". From Rfam's summary of the family: Transfer RNA (tRNA) molecules are approximately 80 nucleotides in length. The record is from RNAcentral. Lineage: Bacteria; Pseudomonadati; Verrucomicrobiota; Verrucomicrobiia.